Molecule: non-coding RNA, 343 nt
Organism: Macaca mulatta (Rhesus monkey)
Lineage: Eukaryota; Metazoa; Chordata; Mammalia; Primates; Cercopithecidae
Source: RefSeq, a predicted model, not a curated record
UUGUAACCUCCUUUCUGCCUCCAAAGCCUGCCUUGGCUCCGUGUCCAGUGAGGGAUUAUGGAUUUAGCAAGGAAGUGCUGUGUAGAGCCAGGCGGACACGAGUUUGAAUUCCAGCUCUGUCAGUAAGUAAAAGUGUGACUUUUGGAGCACCUGGGGAGUUUCUAUAAAAUACAGACAGCUGUGUCCUACUCCUUGGUAAUACAGUAAGUAUUCUGGUAUCCAUAUUUUUCAAAAUUUAUCCCAGCAAUUCUUAUGUUUAACUGUGUUUGGGAGCCACAUGUAUAUCAAAGUAAGCUAUUGUUAUUAUAAUAAUAUCAUGAUUCUAAGAUGACAUAUUAAUAGA